This 315-nucleotide unclassified non-coding RNA is filed under the name plant metagenome. Its description in RNAcentral is "partial contains 5.8S ribosomal RNA, internal transcribed spacer 2, and large subunit ribosomal RNA". The stretch from base 1 to 105 matches the Rfam family "5.8S ribosomal RNA", at positions 50 to 154 of the family's 154-position model. The record is from RNAcentral.
GAAUUGCGAUAAGUAAUGUGAAUUGCAGAAUUCAGUGAAUCAUCGAGUCUUUGAACGCACAUUGCGCCCCCUGGCAUUCCGGGGGGCAUGCCUGUCCGAGCGUCAUUGCUGCCCUUCAAGCCCGGCUUGUGUGUUGGGUCGUCGUCCCCUCCGGGGGACGGGCCCGAAAGGCAGCGGCGGCACCGCGUCCGGUCCUCGAGCGUAUGGGGCUUUGUCACCCGCUCGAUAAGGACCGGCCGGGCGCCAGCCGGCGUCUCCAACCUUUUUUUCUCAGGUUGACCUCGGAUCAGGUAGGGAUACCCGCUGAACUUAAGC